RNAcentral lists this unclassified non-coding RNA (378 nucleotides) under plant metagenome. RNAcentral describes it as "partial contains 5.8S ribosomal RNA, internal transcribed spacer 2, and large subunit ribosomal RNA". The stretch from base 1 to 105 matches the Rfam family "5.8S ribosomal RNA", at positions 50 to 154 of the family's 154-position model. The record is from RNAcentral.
GAAAUGCGAUAAGUAAUGUGAAUUCCAGAAUUCAGUGAAUCAUCGAAUCUUUGAACGCACCUUGCGCUCCUUGGUAUUCCUUGGAGCAUGCCUGUUUGAGUAUCAUGAAAUCUUCAAAGUAAAUCUUUUGUUAACUCAAUUGGUUUCUACUUUGGUAUUGGAGGUCUUUGCAGCUUCACACCUGCUCCUCUUUGUUCAUUAGCUGGAUCUCAGUGUUAUGCUUGGUUCCACUCGGCGUGAUAAGUUAUCUAUCGCUGAGGACACUGUAAAAGGUGGCCAAGGUAAAUGCAGAUGAACCGCUUCUAAUAGUCCAUUGACUUGGACAAUACUUUUAUGAUCUGAUCUCAAAUCAGGUAGGACUACCCGCUGAACUUAAGC